GUGAAAUGAUUCUAGAGAGAACAAGCUGCAGCUAAGAGUGGGUUAAUGUCUGGCAGCUUCCCAGCUAAGUCUCUCUGUCUCUCUCGACUGUUGCAGUAUGAUGGAGGCUGGCUGUGGGGUUGCCGCGGUGAUCGGGAAUGCUUCCUCAGGACCACAGGGAAAACCAGGAAGUGGUGACGUCCUUGAGGGGUGAGCUACUCUCUCACGCGCCACACUGAACCGGUGCUAUGUCAGCUGACCAGGACUCUGCAGAUAUCACACCCAUAAAUAUAAAGAAGACGUGUGUGUGUGUGGGUGAUUGUACGGGCAUGUGUUGUGUGUGUGAGAGAUUGACAGGGAGGAAGAGAGCGAUAGCGAGAGGAAUUCUAAAGACAUUAGAGAUGGCUAUACUAUAUCAUCCCAUUGUAAAGGGUUGUGAUGACACACAUGAUAUCUUCUCAAUCAACUGUAAAUAUUCUGCAAAACAACCAGGCCUAGAUAGGAUAGGAUGGCUCUAAUUUAAUCACAGAUCUCCAGCAGAUGAGACGAGCUCAUUCUUUCAGUGCCUGUGUUCUUGUCCUUAUUAUCAGCAGAUCUCAUGUCUGAGCCCAGGAAGGAAGGAGAAAUCUCAAGGAUCCACUCUUCUUCAUUGUACCUGAGAAAAGUUGGGCUGAAAGGACUUUUCUUCCUCUGCCUAGCACACUGACUCAGAUUUCAGCUGCAGGUUUUGUGAGGCAAUCCCUGGUGGGCCCAGGAUGUGUUUUACUGUAUGUAGGCUAGGCUAUACUCCUCUCUGGAGCUUUCUGUACCAGUCAGUAGCCAUUUGAGACUGUGAAGUUAUUUGUUACCACCAGAAUAACAAGGAUGUAAAUACCACAGUUUUCUGGGCCGCUGGUGCAAUGUCAUGAUUUGAUUUGAUUCGAUCCCCAAAUAUAAUGUGAAUACAUUGGUCUCUCUCGCUGGCUCCCUCUGGUGGAACCCAUGGACACUUAUAUUUAUUUAAAGUAUGUCAAAUGUAAUAUAUUUAUGGAUUCGGAUUCUUCCUGUCACUCAGUCCUUCCCUCCCUCUGCCUCUGUAGGGCCAUGUCACUGUGUAUUACACCAGAUGAAGACAAGAACCAGCCUGAUCCAUACAAGAGCACUAUUCCAACAGAUAAGUCCCCACAAGGGAGCACAAUGGCCAUGGUACGGAAUGAUGAGCUCACAGAGCUUCCUGUCGAGCCUGAGCCCACCCUGCGUUCCUGCAUCAGCACAGCCAGCAUGAAGGUCAAAAACGUGAAGAAGUAGGUGCUCCUGUCCCCACGGAAACAGGCUAUUAUGGGCUGUAAAAUGGGCCUCUAAACCAGGGCAGUA
Molecule: long non-coding RNA, 1332 nt
Filed under: Oncorhynchus kisutch (coho salmon)
Lineage: Eukaryota; Metazoa; Chordata; Actinopteri; Salmoniformes; Salmonidae
Description: lncRNA (ENSOKIG00005016504.1)
Source: RNAcentral